CAAGAUUGGAUGCAACAUAACCGGUGAAGAGGGAAAUCAAACCUAAGGCAAACAGCAUGAACCCACAAACUUUGGUAUAUGGGAUCGAUCGCCUCCAUAACCAACAGGUAAAGAAGAAAUGCUGCUUCUGGGUAUUAGCCAAUACCCCACAACUAUACCUCCAAACUUUCGCCACACCCAUAUCUACAGCUACUUAAUUUUGAAUUUAUGAUACCUUUUGCUCUCAUACUAUCAACUCACGGCAGGGAAUGGACAGGUAAUCAGCAUCACAUACAAAGAGAGCUGUGCCCACUACUCUGCUGUCUAUAUAAAUGGUGUUGGCCGUCCAAG
Molecule: unclassified non-coding RNA, 330 nt
Filed under: Hevea brasiliensis (rubber tree)
Lineage: Eukaryota; Viridiplantae; Streptophyta; Magnoliopsida; Malpighiales; Euphorbiaceae
Source: RNAcentral